ACCGGCUCCGCGGCGGGCCGCUCACCAGAGUGUCUUGCCCGGACCGGUGGCUUCCGGCUCCGCUCUAGGACCUCAGGAGGACCACAGCUUCACUCGGUGGUGCCGGAUGUCUUUCAACUGGCCAGUCAGAGAUCUCGUAUAGCCCAGGCCAUGAGGCAGAGGAUGACACCUCCAUAUCCCAGAAUACUUUGAUCCUUAUUUUUGUCGUUGGAUUUGGUGAUUUUUCUAAGUUGAGAAGAAAUGAGGCCUGAAGACUAUCUCAUCCACCUGUUUGUUCCGGGCUAACUCUCCAGCCCAAGUGGGUCCUGGAGGAAUGCAGAAUUGAGACCAGUGAAGAUAAAUCAAAACAAAUCCUGCCGAAAGUGCAAGAGUCUAAAAGUUCAGAACAAAUCCCACAAACACACACAUAUACACAUAGAGAUAAAUCUUUAAAAACCCAGAAAAGUAUGUGGCUGGUAAUUAUUGAAAACGAAACUCACACGUGAACUCAAUAUACUACCAAAAUCUAUAACUUUAAGCAUCAUAUUAAUGGACUAACAAAAUUGGAUGAUCUUCACUCGUGUUAUAAUUUAGUAAAACUGAG
This is a long non-coding RNA of Nannospalax galili (Upper Galilee mountains blind mole rat), 583 nucleotides long. RefSeq lists it as uncharacterized. The transcript is spliced from 4 exons. NCBI's taxonomy places the organism in Eukaryota, Metazoa, Chordata, Mammalia, Rodentia, Spalacidae. The record is from RefSeq and is a predicted model, not a curated record.